RNAcentral lists this ribosomal RNA (490 nucleotides) under uncultured bacterium. Its description in RNAcentral is "partial 16S ribosomal RNA". It matches the Rfam family "Bacterial small subunit ribosomal RNA", at positions 30 to 523 of the family's 1533-position model. The record is from RNAcentral.
AUUGAACGCUGGCGGCAUGCCUUCCACAUGCAAGUCGAACGAGUGUAGCAAUACACAAGUGGCGAACGGGUGAGUAAUGCAUCGGAACGUAUCCUAUUGUGGGGGAUAACGUAGCGAAAGUUACCCUAAUACCGCAUACGAUCUGAGGAUGAAAGCGGUGGACCGUAAGGCCUCGCGCGAUCGGCGCGGCCGAUGUCAGAUUAGGUAGUUGGUGGGGUAAAGGCUCACCAAGCCAACGAUCUGUAGCUGGUCUGAGAGGACGACCAGCCACACUGGGACUGAGACACGGCCCAGACUCCUACGGGAGGAAGCAGUGGGGAAUUUUGGACAAUGGGCGAAAGCCUGAUCCAGCAAUGCCGCGUGCAGGAAGAAGGCCUUCGGGUUGUAAACUGCUUUUGUACGGAGCGAAAAGGCUCUCUCUAAUACAGGGGGCUCAUGACGGUACCGUAAGAAUAAGCACCGGCUAACUACGUGCCAGCCGCCGCGGUAA